Molecule: ribosomal RNA, 490 nt
Filed under: uncultured bacterium
Lineage: Bacteria
Description: partial 16S ribosomal RNA
Rfam family: Bacterial small subunit ribosomal RNA
Source: RNAcentral
AUUGAACGCUGGCGGCAUGCCUAACACAUGCAAGUCGAACGGUAACAGGAAGAAGUUUGCUUCUUUGCGGACGAGUGGCGGACGGGUGUGUCAUGUCUGUGAAACUGCUUGAUGGCGGGGGUUAACUACUGGAAACGGUACCAAUUACGGCAUAUCGUCGCAAGCGCAUAGUUGAGUACCUUCGGGCCUCUUGCCAUCGACUGUGCCCUGAUGGGAUUAGCUAGUAGGUGGGGUAACGGCUUACCUAGGCGACGAUCCGUAGCUGGUCUGAGAGGAUGACCAGCCACACUGGAACUGAGACACGGUCCAGACUCCUACGGGAGGCAGCAGUGGGGAAUAUUGCACAAUGGGCGAAAGCCUGAUGCAGCAAUGCCGCGUGUAUGAAGAAGGUCUUCGGGUUGUAAAGCACUUUCAGCGGGGAGGAAGGAAGUUAUGUUAAUAUCUGUGCUCAUUGACGUUACCCGAAGAGGAAGCCCCGGCUAACUACGUG